This 427-nucleotide ribosomal RNA is filed under the name uncultured bacterium. RNAcentral's name for it is "bacterial SSU rRNA". It matches the Rfam family "Bacterial small subunit ribosomal RNA", at positions 355 to 774 of the family's 1533-position model. The record is from RNAcentral.
UGGGGAAUAUUGGACAAUGGGCGAAAGCCUGAUCCAGCCAUGCCGCGUGUGUGAAGAAGGUCUUCGGAUUGUAAAGCACUUUUGUCCGGAAAGAAAAGCUCUCGGUUAAUAGUCGAGGGUCCUGACGGUACCGGAAGAAUAAGCACCGGCUAACUUCGUGCCAGCAGCCGCGGUAAUACGGAGGGUGCAAGCGUUAUCCGGAUUCACUGGGUUUAAAGGGUGCGUAGGUGGGUUAGUAAGUCAGUGGUGAAAUCUUCGAGCUUAACUCGGAAACUGCCAUUGAUAUUGCUAGACUUGAAUUAUUAUGAAGUAACUAGAAUAUGUAGUGUAGCGGUGAAAUGCUUAGAUAUUACAUGGAAUACCAAUUGCGAAGGCAGGUUACUACUAAUGGAUUGACGCUGAUGGACGAAAGCGUGGGGAGCGAACA